UUGAUUUUAAUUAUUUGUGAAGGUACUACUAAUUAACAACAAUUCUACAAUCAAAACAAAAAAAAUCAAAACUUUUAACAAUGGAUCUCUUGGUUCUCGUAUCGAUGAAGAACGCAGCGAAACGCGAUAUUUCUUGUGAAUUGCAGAAGUGAAUCAUCAGUUUUUGAACGCACAUUGCACUUUGGGGUAUCCCCCAAAGUAUACUUGUUUGAGCGUUGUUUCUCUCUUGGAAUUGCAUUGCUUUUCUAAAAAACCGAAUCAAAUUCGUUUGAAACAACAUUUUUUCAACCUCAGAUCAAGUAGGAAUACCCGCUGAACUUAAGCAUAUCAAUAAGCGGAGGAAUCGCCAACUUGGUCAUUUAGAGGAAGUAAAGUCGUAACAAGGUCUCCGUUGGUGAACCAGCGGAGGGAUCAUUACCGAGUUGCAAAACUCCCAAACCCCAAUGUUUAUCUAUCUCGAAAACGUCUGCUUCGGCGGGCGGCCCCAGGGCGGGGCCGCAGCCUAGCGCUUCGGCGCCGGGCGCCCGCCGGAGAGGACAACCCAAAACUCUUGUUUUCUAUGAAACUCUGAGCAUAAAAGACAAAUAGUCA
RNAcentral lists this unclassified non-coding RNA (591 nucleotides) under soil metagenome. Its description in RNAcentral is "partial contains internal transcribed spacer 1, 5.8S ribosomal RNA, and internal transcribed spacer 2". The stretch from base 70 to 218 matches the Rfam family "5.8S ribosomal RNA". The record is from RNAcentral.